GCGGCACUUGGGAAAAUGCCAUUAAAAGUCUGUUUUGAUGUAGUGUCUUUUUCUCUCUCUCAUUUCUUUUCUAUUAUUCCUUUUCUCUUCGUCAAUUUUCUUUAUCUUAACUUUCGGAGUAUAUCAAAGAGAAGAUGCAGCCAAAUCAGUUGAAGAAGGUUAGUUUCUUCUUCUUCUUCAUCUUCUUCUUUUUUGUUUAAGAUUUAUUACUACUUUUUUUUUUAACUUCAAAGUUUAGAUUUUUAGGAAUUAUAGGAUCUGGGUUUUGUGUAUCAAAGUGUAAAAGUUUUAACCUUUUGAUUUCUUUGAACGUGGUUUGAAGAUAAAACUUUCAAGGUUGUUCUUCAUUGAUGUUUUCUUGUAGGAAAAUUGAUGUGGCUUAGGUGCUAUGAUUUCAAGCUAAUAAACCUGUUUAGAUUUUAUUAAAAAAUUGAAUUAAUAUUUUUUUAUCAAAUAAUUGGAGAAGGCAGGGUUUUGGUUAAAAUUUUAUAAUUAAAAGACCAAAAAAAAAAGGUUAGAAGGUGUCAUGUAAGGUGAUAAGUUGAGAUUUUGAAGUUUAGGUUAGAUUCUUUUUAACCAAAUUGAAUUUGUUAAGUUUUGGCUUUAAUUUUCACUGAGAUUGAAGAGGACUAAUUUUGGAACUGAAUAGAGGAAAUAUAAAACUUAAUUCACACACUUGUUUAUUAAAGAAAUCAAUAUCGAUAAAGGAAGAAAAAUGAAGCUCGGUUUGUGCUUCAAUUUCAGGUUUCAAAAUCAACUUGAAGCUGGAAUUAACUUUAAAAUAAGUGGUGGCCAUUAAUCCGCUGGGUUGCUUCAAUCAUGCUAGUGCUUAAUGUUGAAAAUGUUUCUUGACGAAUGAAGAUUAUUCUAUUUGUACUGUUUUUGGUUCCUUUAUGUAUGUUCACACUUUUUCAUAGCAUGAUAAAGAUGGCUACUAAUAUUUUUGGAUUUCUUUCUAUAUUGCUUUCUUUAUCGAAAGUGGUAUUGGUUUCCUCUUUAGUUAUAUGGAGAGCAUUCCAAUAAAUGAAUCGAUUUCAAUAGAUUCUGUGUUUGAUUUUUGACUAAUAGAAAUUGCCAGGCUAAGUGCAACAU
This 1092-nucleotide long non-coding RNA is filed under the name Gossypium barbadense (sea-island cotton). RNAcentral's name for it is "long non-coding RNA (GBAR_LNC011276)". The record is from RNAcentral. Lineage: Eukaryota; Viridiplantae; Streptophyta; Magnoliopsida; Malvales; Malvaceae.